Molecule: non-coding RNA, 110 nt
Organism: Acanthosepion pharaonis
Lineage: Eukaryota; Metazoa; Mollusca; Cephalopoda; Sepiida; Sepiidae
Source: the annotation of a GenBank genome assembly
CUUGCGGCCAUAUCAGUUGGAAACACCGGUCCUCGUACGAUCACCAAAGUUAAGCAACGUCGAACCAUGUCAGUAUCUAAAUGGUUAGCCGCUUGGGAAUACCAAGUGCU